UACGUAGGGGGCAAGCGUUGUCCGGAUUUACUGGGCGUAAAGCGCGCGUAGGCGGAACUUCAAGUCCGGUCUGAAAGCCCCCGGCUCAACCGGGGAGGGUGGCUGGAAACUGGGGUUCUUGAGGGCGAGAGAGGAGGGUGGAAUUCCUGGUGUAGCGGUGAAAUGCGCAGAUAUCAGGAAGAACACCAAUGGCGAAAGCAGCUCUCUGGGACGGUACUGACGCUGAGACGCGAAAGCGUGGGGAGCGAACAGG
RNAcentral lists this ribosomal RNA (253 nucleotides) under uncultured bacterium. RNAcentral describes it as "partial 16S ribosomal RNA". It matches the Rfam family "Bacterial small subunit ribosomal RNA", at positions 524 to 776 of the family's 1533-position model. The record is from RNAcentral.